RNAcentral lists this ribosomal RNA (497 nucleotides) under uncultured bacterium. RNAcentral's name for it is "partial 16S ribosomal RNA". It matches the Rfam family "Bacterial small subunit ribosomal RNA", at positions 28 to 507 of the family's 1533-position model. The record is from RNAcentral.
GAUGAACGCUGGCGGCGUGCCUAAUACAUGCAAGUCGAGCGAACAGACGAGGAGCUUGCUCCUCUGACGUUAGCGGCGGACGGGUGAGUAACACGUGGAUAACCUACCUAUAAGACUGGGAUAACUUCGGGAAACCGGAGCUAAUACCGGAUAAUAUAUUGAACCGCAUGGUUCAAUAGUUAAAGACGGUUUUGCUGUCACUUAUAGAUGGAUCCGCGCCGCAUUAGCUAGUUGGUAAGGUAACGGCUUACCAAGGCGACGAUGCGUAGCCGACCUGAGAGGGUGAUCGGCCACCCUGGAACUGAGACACGGUCCAGACUCCGACGGGAGGCAGCAGUAGGGAAUCUUCCGCAAUGGGCGAAAGCCUGACGGAGCAACGCCGCGUGAGUGAUGAAGGUCUUCGGAUCGUAAAACUCUGUUAUUAGGGAAGAACAAAUGUGUAAGUAACUAUGCACGUCUUGACGGUACCUAAUCAGAAAGCCACGGCUAACUACGUG